AAAAAAUUCUUUAUGGUUUGUAAAUUUAUUAUAAAUUUAUUUUACAUAUAAAUUUUAGUGUUAAAUAUUAAUUAUUUAAAUAAUAAUUAUUUAUUUUGUAGUAAUUAAUAUUAAAUUAUUUAAGGAAUUAAGAUUUAGUAAUAUUUAAAUUAAUAACAAAUUUUGUGCCAGCAGUUGCGGUUAAACAAAAAUUAAAUUAAAUUUUAUUAGUAAUUAAUUAAUAAAAUAAUUUUUAUAAUAAAAAUUUUAAAUUAUUAAGUGAAAUUUUAAUUUAAUUAAAAUUUAUGAUUAAAUUAUGAUUUAAUAAAUUUUUUAAAAAACUAGGAUUAGAUACCCUAUUAUUAAAAUUUAAAUUUAUAAUACUGAAAUAGUAGAUAAUUAUUUAUUGAAACUUAAAUAAUUUGGCGGUAUUUUAGUUCAUUUAGAGGAAUCUGUUUAUUAAUUGAUAAUCCACGAAUAAAUUUACUUAAUUUAAUAUUUUGUAUAUCGUUGUUAAAAAAAUAUUUUUAAAAAAAAUUAAUAUUUAAAAAUUAUAAAUUAAAUUAAAUCAGAUCAAGAUGCAGAUUAUAAUUAAGAAUAUAAUGGAUUACAAUAAAUUUAUUUAUAUGGAUAUUAAUUUGUAAAAAUUAAUUGAAGGUGGAUUUAAAUGUAAUUUUAUUUAAUUUAUUAAAAUGAUUAAAAAUUAAAAUAUGUACAUAUUGCCCGUCACUUUCAUAUAAUAUAAUUAUAAAUAUAAUUAUAAUAAAUUGAAAUAAGUCGUAACAAAGUAGAGGUACUGGAAAGUGUUUCUAGAAAGAA
Molecule: non-coding RNA, 798 nt
Filed under: Helicoverpa gelotopoeon
Lineage: Eukaryota; Metazoa; Arthropoda; Insecta; Lepidoptera; Noctuidae
Source: RNAcentral